AGAGUUUGAUCCUGGCUCAGGACGAACGCUGGCGGCGUGCUUAACACAUGCAAGUCGAACGGUGAAGUCCCUUCGGGGGCGGAUCAGUGGCGAACGGGUGAGUAACACGUGGGCAAUCUGCCCCUCACUGUGGGAUAACUCCGGGAAACCGGGGCUAAUACCGCAUAUGAAGCCUGGCGGCAUCGCCGGGUUUGGAAAGUUUUUCGGUGAGGGAUGAGCCCGCGGCCUAUCAGCUUGUUGGUGAGGUAAUGGCUCACCAAGGCGACGACGGGUAGCCGGCCUGAGAGGGCGACCGGCCACACUGGGACUGAGACACGGCCCAGACUCCUACGGGAGGCAGCAGUGGGGAAUAUUGGGCAAUGGGCGAAAGCCUGACCCAGCGACGCCGCGUGCGAGGUGAAGGCCUUCGGGUUGUAAACC
This 420-nucleotide ribosomal RNA is filed under the name uncultured bacterium. RNAcentral's name for it is "bacterial SSU rRNA". It matches the Rfam family "Bacterial small subunit ribosomal RNA", at positions 8 to 431 of the family's 1533-position model. The record is from RNAcentral.